This 231-nucleotide long non-coding RNA is filed under the name Lathyrus oleraceus (garden pea). RNAcentral's name for it is "Pisum sativum (pea) long non-coding RNA (PSAT_LNC023598)". The record is from RNAcentral. Lineage: Eukaryota; Viridiplantae; Streptophyta; Magnoliopsida; Fabales; Fabaceae.
ACGUCGUUUAGAGCUCGACGGUUCAACGGUCUUCACGAUCCGGCUUUGUUGAGCAACUUCCUCAAGGGCUUUGUUGUCUUUAAGAGGUUCUUGAUGAACCUUCGAUAAAAUCUGAUACCACCCAUUUUCGGAACUACUCGCACAACACUCACCCAUUCACCAUCGGAAAUAGAACAAAUCAUCCCGACCUCUACUAAGUUGACAACUUCCUUCUUUUUUAGCACUCGCAUC